GAUGAACGCUGGCGGCGUGCCUAAUACAUGCAAGUCGAGCGAACGGACGAGAAGCUUGCUUCUCUGAUGUUAGCGGCGGACGGGUGAGUAACACGUGGAUAACCUACCUAUAAGACUGGGAUAACUUCGGGAAACCGGAGCUAAUACCGGAUAAUAUUUUGAACCGCAUGGUUCAAAAGUGAAAGACGGUCUUGCUGUCACUUAUAGAUGGAUCCGCGCUGCAUUAGCUAGUUGGUAAGGUAACGGCUUACCAAGGCAACGAUGCAUAGCCGACCUGAGAGGGGGGUCGGCCCACCCUGAAACGGGACCACGGCCCAACCCCCUAGGGGAGGCACAGGAGGGGAACCUUCCGAAUGGGGGGAAAGCCUGACGGAGCAACGCCGGGGAGGUGUUGAGGGUUUUCGGGUCGAAAAACGUUUUUAUUGGGGAAAAAAAAUUUUGAAAGUAACUGUGACCAUUUUAAGGGAACCUAUAAAGAAGCCCCCGGUAAACUACGG
Molecule: ribosomal RNA, 497 nt
Filed under: uncultured bacterium
Lineage: Bacteria
Description: partial 16S ribosomal RNA
Rfam family: Bacterial small subunit ribosomal RNA
Source: RNAcentral